RNAcentral lists this ribosomal RNA (567 nucleotides) under uncultured bacterium. RNAcentral describes it as "partial 16S ribosomal RNA". It matches the Rfam family "Bacterial small subunit ribosomal RNA", at positions 355 to 915 of the family's 1533-position model. The record is from RNAcentral.
UGGGGAAUUUUGGACAAUGGGCGCAAGCCUGAUCCAGCCAUGCCGCGUGCGGGAAGAAGGCCUUCGGGUUGUAAACCGCUUUUGUCAGGGAAGAAAUCUUCUGAGUUAAUACCUCGGGAGGAUGACGGUACCUGAAGAAUAAGCACCGGCUAACUACGUGCCAGCAGCCGCGGUAAUACGUAGGGUGCAAGCGUUAAUCGGAAUUACUGGGCGUAAAGCGUGCGCAGGCGGUUUUGUAAGACAGAGGUGAAAUCCCCGGGCUCAACCUGGGAACUGCCUUUGUGACUGCAAGGCUUGAGUGCGGCAGAGGGGGAUGGAAUUCCGCGUGUAGCAGUGAAAUGCGUAGAUAUGCGGAGGAACACCGAUGGCGAAGGCAAUCCCCUGGGCCUGCACUGACGCUCAUGCACGAAAGCGUGGGGAGCAAACAGGAUUAGAUACCCUGGUAGUCCACGCCCUAAACGAUGUCAACUGGUUGUUGGGAAGGUUCCUUCUCAGUAACGUAGCUAACGCGUGAAGUUGACCGCCUGGGGAGUACGGCCGCAAGGUUGAAACUCAAAUGAAUUGACG